Molecule: long non-coding RNA, 2119 nt
Organism: Gallus gallus (chicken)
Lineage: Eukaryota; Metazoa; Chordata; Aves; Galliformes; Phasianidae
Source: Ensembl
CUGUUCCACCCAGACUUCCCCUCGUGUGCCUACAAAAACACACUGUUUUGGGCCAACUUUCCAUCGUCACAUUUGCAGCCAUCUGAAAGCCAGAGCCAGGCUUUGGUGCCGGAAAUAUAGCAGAUCUUCUAAAUGGAGGAGAAACUUCCCUUCUCAGCCUUCCCAGCUUCUGAGGGUGCUAAGCACCGUGAGGUCAUCCCUGGAGGAUAAGCUUCUUGUAACAAGGUUUUCUCUCCCUAAGUCUGGAGUAAAUAGGGAGACCUUCUUCCAAAGGUGGCACUGCUGGCUAUUCAAAUGAAUACAGAGAGCUGACUGUGAACGGUCAUGUUCACAAACACAUUUUCCUUUACUGGCAGAGCAUCUGAAAACAUACCUGCGAUUACCUUGGAUUUGGUCAUGAUGAAAAGACAGUGAAAGUUUAUUCUCAAGUUGCACUUCUUCCUUUCUGUUUUUGGAAGCAAAAUGACCGACGUGCAGCUUUGCCAUGGUUGAUGAUGUGACUUUGGCUCACAGCCCAGAAGAAUGUCACUGCCCGACAGGAUGAGGAGGAGAGAACCAAAAUCUAGUGCUGGAGAAUUGUAAAGCCGUGUAACAUUUUUUCAGCUGCUUUUGAAACCUGGUGGCAUGAAUGUGAACAUGAGAAGUGUACCAAUAGACCUCUUAUUUUUAAAUCGGCUCUUGAACCACAACCAGUAUAUUUCCAGUGCUGACAUUCUCUCUCCAAGUAUCAGUAAGUUUUGGCAACUUCUCUAGAGCACAAGGAACCAGGAUCUCUGCAAUCCAGGCAUCUUCUGCAGAGCCUUCUUCCCUUUCCUCUGACUUUGGCUACUCCCUUGGCACAACAUCAUGGCUGUCCCACUGCUGAAAGCAAUGCCCACUGCAGGGCUAUGUCAAGCCUGGAAAGAGUCUUAGGUAGACAUCUAACAAUGCUGUUACCCGUUUCGCCAUAACUCUUGGUGAUGGUCUGUGUUUCUAAAAUGUGAGACAAAGACCCAGGUGGAAAGGAGCAUGAGGGGCCUGAGCUAGUGGUUGCAUCAGCAUCACAGGAGAGCAGAGCAAAGGCAAUCUGAACCCAGGAUGUAAGUGUGGGAAUGGUGUAUGGGCAUCAAGUAGAAAGGCUGCUGGAGAAGAGUCCUACAGCAGGACAGUAACCAGAAAGAUGCACACAGAUCUGCAUAUUAGAAACCCCUGUCCAGUUUUGAUCGUACAACAUGGAGAAGGAAGCAACCUACUUUUAUCACUGUGUAUCCUUGUUCUCAAGCACUUGGAACUCUUUGGAGUUGAGCUGAAUGCUGCUCAUUUCUGGAUGUGUGCUGAGCUUUGAUCUCAGCAAAGCUGUGCGUGUGGCCAGAAUAACAUCACCAAAACACCAGAGCUCGCACUGUCGUGCUGGAGCACCCUCAUCCCAGACAGGUGCUUCUGCUCUGCCUUGUUUGUUUUUUGUCUGCGGAGAAGGAAACCAGAUGUGGCGUGCACGGUGCAGGAGAUUGAAGGAGAUGCCCAGGGCUCUGCAGAGCAGAGAGGUCUUCCUCUGCAGAAGUCCUCCGGCAGCAAGUGGCUGCGGGAAGGACACAGGCGAGGGAACGGCCCGGACCUGUCGCGGGAGGAUCGUCACCCCGUUUGCACUCACUUCUUGGCUGCCCUGCAUUUUGGAGCAGCUGACUCAAGAGGGCAGCAAGCCGACGGGCUGCCACCGGCUUCAGCGGCCAGCCCUGCCCCGCCGGAUCCCACCGACGGCCUCCGCGCCCGGGAGGGCUGCGUGUCGGAGGAAUUCGCCGGGAUGACGCGUGCUCCUGAUCGAAGGACACGGGAGGACCCGGGGGUGCUCUGCUGCCCUCUCCCCACGCCCCCCGGCUCCUGGCUGGGGAGGCAAGGUUGCCUCAAUGCUGCUGGGUGAAAUCUGGUCUCACCUCUGCAGGUGACACGAGCCUGGAGCCUGUCCCACCCUGAAACUUCCGUGGUUGCCAGCAUGACCACGAAAUGGAGGUGAAAUCUCUCCCUCCUGCUGUCACUGUGGUUACGGCUGCCUCCCUCGUGCCUCCAAAGGGGAGCCAAGGAAGUUUCUGGGCACUGAGAACACAAAGUACGUGCAACACACAAAGGGCUUUAGACCCUGACG